Molecule: long non-coding RNA, 465 nt
Filed under: Carica papaya (papaya)
Lineage: Eukaryota; Viridiplantae; Streptophyta; Magnoliopsida; Brassicales; Caricaceae
Description: long non-coding RNA (CPAP_LNC009034)
Source: RNAcentral
AUAUGAGUAUGGAUACCUAUGACCGACACAUAUGUUGGCCUUCUCAUGUGCGAAACAUGGCUGCCGCACAUGCGAGCACCCAGCCCGCAUGGUCAUGAACGUCAGUCAUGGAUGUAGCAACACCUACACACCCCACGACAUGCACACAAGCGCGCUAGCAGCUACUUAUAUGUGCAGCCAGCAAGCAUGAGCAGAUAAGUAGUCCCGCACGCCCACGCCGAACACAUGCAGCAUGCACGUGGCAAUGUGCAUGUGCACAAGAGGCCAAGCACACACCAAGUGCCCCACAUGCAGGUUCCCCAGCUUCGCAUGGCAAAAGCACACGACCCGAACGCUCACCCGUGUAGCCGCACAUCCGCAAGGCAAAACUCACACAGCCCUAACUCGCUACCCGCACACGGCCAGCCUGCUGCCAACUUGGUAGCCCCUUUUUGAGUCUUGUUUGGACUAAUUGUCUCACUUUUC